This 253-nucleotide ribosomal RNA is filed under the name uncultured bacterium. Its description in RNAcentral is "partial 16S ribosomal RNA". It matches the Rfam family "Bacterial small subunit ribosomal RNA", at positions 524 to 776 of the family's 1533-position model. The record is from RNAcentral.
UACGUAGGGUGCGAGCGUUGUCCGGAAUUAUUGGGCGUAAAGGGCUCGUAGGCGGUUUGUCGCGUCGGGAGUGAAAACACACAGCUUAACUGUGUGCUUGCUUCCGAUACGGGCAGACUAGAGGUAUGCAGGGGAGAACGGAAUUCCUGGUGUAGCGGUGAAAUGCGCAGAUAUCAGGAGGAACACCGGUGGCGAAGGCGGGUCUCUGGGCAGUAACUGACGCUGAGGAGCGAAAGCGUGGGGAGCGAACAGG